CCCAGGUGUCACUCAGGGCUCAGCCAUGUCCCUCAGGUGUCACUCAGGUGUCCCAGGUGUCACUCAGGUGUCACUCAGGUGUCCCAGGUGUCACACAGGUGUCACCCAGGUGUCACUCAGGGCUCAGCCAUGUCCCUCAGGUGUCCCCAGGUGUCACUCAGGUGUCACUCAGGUGUCCCCAGGUGUCCCAGGUGUCACACAGGUGUCCCCAGGUGUCACUCAGGGCUCAGCCAUGUCCCUCAGGUGUCCCCAGGUGUCCCAGGUGUCACACAGGUCUCACUCAGGUGUCACUCAGGUGUCCCAGGUGUCACUCAGGUGUCACUCAGGGCUCAGCCAUGUCCCCGCCUCCUCCACGUCCUGCGGCACCACCAGGAACAGCUGCGAGCCCGGCUGGGCCAG
Molecule: long non-coding RNA, 399 nt
Organism: Oenanthe melanoleuca
Lineage: Eukaryota; Metazoa; Chordata; Aves; Passeriformes; Muscicapidae
Exons: 6
Source: RefSeq, a predicted model, not a curated record